UUCGUAGGCGGCCAAGUAAGUCAGGGGUGAAAUCUAGCGGCUCAACCGUUAAACUGCCCUUGAAACCGCUUGGCUUGAGGACAUGAGAGGAAAGGGGAAUUCUCGGUGUAGCGGUGAAAUGCGUGGAUAUCGAGAGGAACACCAGUGGCGUAGGCGCCUUUCUGGCAUGUUUCUGACGCUGAGGAACGAAAGCUAGGGGAGCGAACGGGAUUAGAUACCCCGGUAGUCCUAGCUGUAAACGAUGUGCACUAGGUGUGGGAGGUAUCGACUCCUUCCGUGCCGCAGCCAACGCAUUAAGUGCACCGCCUGGGGAGUACGGCCGCAAGGUUGAA
This 332-nucleotide ribosomal RNA is filed under the name uncultured bacterium. RNAcentral describes it as "bacterial SSU rRNA". It matches the Rfam family "Bacterial small subunit ribosomal RNA", at positions 568 to 898 of the family's 1533-position model. The record is from RNAcentral.